UGUGGGAGCGGGCUUGCUCGCGAAUGCGGUGUGUCAGUUAACGCAAGUAUUGACUGAUCCAACGCCUUCGCGAGCAAGCCCGCUCCCACA
This 90-nucleotide unclassified non-coding RNA is filed under the name Pseudomonas fluorescens. Lineage: Bacteria; Pseudomonadati; Pseudomonadota; Gammaproteobacteria; Pseudomonadales; Pseudomonadaceae. The record is from RNAcentral.